UACGUAGGGACCUGGCGAUGUCCGGAAUCAUUGGGCGUAAGGCGCGUGUAGGCGGCUUGCCAAGGCCGGUGUGAAAACUGGGGGCUUAACUCCCAGCCUGCACUGGAAACUGGCUUGCUAGAGUCCGGAAGAGGAGACUGGAAUUCCUGGUGUAGCGGUGAAAUGCGCAGAUAUCAGGAAGAACACCUGUGGCGAAGGCGGGUCUCUGGGACGGUACUGACGCUGAGACGAGAAAGCGUGGGGAGCAAACAGG
RNAcentral lists this ribosomal RNA (253 nucleotides) under uncultured bacterium. RNAcentral's name for it is "partial 16S ribosomal RNA". It matches the Rfam family "Bacterial small subunit ribosomal RNA", at positions 524 to 776 of the family's 1533-position model. The record is from RNAcentral.